Heteronotia binoei (common prickly gecko) is the source of this 106-nucleotide small nuclear RNA. NCBI's taxonomy places the organism in Eukaryota, Metazoa, Chordata, Lepidosauria, Squamata, Gekkonidae. The record is from RefSeq and is a predicted model, not a curated record.
GCACUCACUUCAGCAGUGCAUAUACUAAAAUUGGAACAAUACAGAGAAAUUAGCAUGGCCCCUGUGCAAGGAUAACAUGUUUCCAUAUGCAUGGGUAUGCAUGUGC